Sander lucioperca (pikeperch) is the source of this 324-nucleotide long non-coding RNA. RefSeq lists it as uncharacterized. The record is from RefSeq and is a predicted model, not a curated record. The transcript has 3 exons. NCBI's taxonomy places the organism in Eukaryota, Metazoa, Chordata, Actinopteri, Perciformes, Percidae.
UGAAAGUAAGGUUCUCCUUUUUCACUUUACAAGUUACCACAGAGCCAGUCAUUUCAAUCUCAACUAUCUCUUUUAAAAACAGAUUCUAAUUCUGUCUUUUGUCUUGUAGAGGAGUCUGAUGGAAUGACAAACGUCAUGAUUGUGAUCCUGGGUGUUCUGACUGUUUUCUUCAUGAUAGCUGUCAUUGUUCUGUCUGUUAAAAACAGGAAACUUCAGAAAGCUGCUAAAGAAGAACUGCAUCCUGAAAGAAACAAGAAUGUGGACUCUGAUGAUCUGAACUCUGCAGCUCUGAGGUUCCUUCCAAACACAACAAGGAACAGGAGG